RNAcentral lists this long non-coding RNA (1194 nucleotides) under Homo sapiens (human). RNAcentral's name for it is "HSALNT0086143". The record is from RNAcentral. Lineage: Eukaryota; Metazoa; Chordata; Mammalia; Primates; Hominidae.
UUAUAUAGUAAUUGUUUCAUUUUUAACUCAAGUUUUUACAACCUGAGAACUUUAAUGUGUGUGUGUGUGUGUGUGUGUGUGCUUGUAUGCAUAUGUAGGGUUUUGGUUAUUUUUCUACUUUCCAUUUAAUUUUAAAAAUCAUCUGUUGAAAUAAGCAAAAGAUGGCUAGUGUGGCCAAGGUUAGUGAGGCAGAAGAAGGAGAUAGGAGAUGACAUUGGUGAGAGAGCCAGAGUCUAGACUGCAGAAGAAGGCUGUGAUAAGGAGUUGGAAUUUAUUCUAGAUGCAAUGCGAAUCUACCCAAGGGUUUUUUUGUUUGUUUGUUUGUUUUGAGAUGGGGUCUCACUCUCUCACUCUGUCACCCAGGCUGGAGUGCAGUGGCAUGAUCUUGGUUUACUGCAACUUCGACCUCCCAGGCUUGAGCGAUCCUCCCACCUUAGCCUCCAGAGUAGCUGGGACCACAGGUGCGUGUCACCAUGCCCUGCUAAUUUUUUGUAGAGACAGGAUUUGGCCAUUUUGCCCGGGCUGGUCUUGAACUCCUGAGCUCAAGUGAUCCACCUACCUCGGCCUCCCGAAGUGCUGGGAUAACAGUCAUGAACCACCACGACUGGCUACAAAAGGUUUUAAGCAGGGGAAUGCCACAAUCUAAAUCAUUGUUAAUAAAGAUCACUGGUUGAAUUGAGGAGAAUGGUUGAACGGUGCUGCCACAAACAGAGAAAAAAGGAGUGAAAAACAGGAUUCGGGGAAGAUGGGCUCAUAGACUGAAAGGAUCUGUCUUGUCUUGGAUGAAACUUUGGACUUGGACUUUUGAGUUAAUGCUGGGAUGAGUUAAGACUUUGGGGGACUGUUGGGAAUGCAUGAUUGGUUUUGAAAUGUGAAAAGGACAUGAGAUUUGGGAGGGGCCAAGGGAAGAAUGAUAUGGUUUGGCUCUGUGUCCCCACCCAAAUCUGAUCUCAAAUUGUAAUCCCCAUGUGUCAGAGGAGGCACCUGGUGGGAGGUGACUGAAUCAUGGGGCAGACUUCCCCCUUGCUGUUAUUGUGAUAGUGAGUGAGUUCUCAUGAGAUCUGAUGGUUCAAAAGUGUGUGGCACUUUCCCCUUCCUUUCCCUCUUCUCCUUCUGCUAUGAUUGUAAGUUUCCUGAGGCCUCUCGGCCAUGCUUCCUGUACAGCCUGUGGAAAUGGGAGUCAAUUAAACCUUU